CGGAACGUUUCGGGCGUGGCAGUCUUUGCGCGGUCUUGCUUGUUUGGAAUAAAAAUUGGUGAUAUGAGGACUCAGUUUUGAAUGGGGAUUUAGAACUAUGACGUGGUGAUUUCGAGCUCAGUCGACUGGA
Molecule: long non-coding RNA, 130 nt
Organism: Macrosteles quadrilineatus (aster leafhopper)
Lineage: Eukaryota; Metazoa; Arthropoda; Insecta; Hemiptera; Cicadellidae
Exons: 3
Source: RefSeq, a predicted model, not a curated record